RNAcentral lists this ribosomal RNA (497 nucleotides) under uncultured bacterium. Its description in RNAcentral is "partial 16S ribosomal RNA". It matches the Rfam family "Bacterial small subunit ribosomal RNA", at positions 28 to 507 of the family's 1533-position model. The record is from RNAcentral.
GAUGAACGCUGGCGGCGUGCCUAAUACAUGCAAGUCGAGCGAACAGACGAGGAACUUGCUCCUCUGACGUUAGCGGCGGACGGGUGAGUAACACGUGGAUAACCUACCUAUAAGACUGGGAUAACUUCGGGAAACCGGAGCUAAUACCGGAUAAUAUAUUGAACCGCAUGGUUCAAUAGUGAAAGACGGUUUUGCUGUCACUUAUAGAUGGAUCCGCGCCGCAUUAGCUAGUUGGUAAGGUAACGGCUUACCAAGGCGCCGAUGCGUAGCCGACCUGAGAGGGUGACCGGCCACACUGGAAGUGAGAAACGGUCCAGACUCCUACGGGAGGCAGCAGUAGGGAAUCUUCCGCAAUGGGCGAAAGCCUGACGGAGCAACGCGGCGUGAGUGAUGAAGGUCUUCGGAUCGUAAAACUCUGUUAUUAGGGAAGAACAAAUGUGUAAGUAACUAUGCACGUCUUGACGGUACCUAAUCAGAAAGCCACGGCUAACUACGUG